Molecule: non-coding RNA, 210 nt
Filed under: Kaistia sp.
Lineage: Bacteria; Pseudomonadati; Pseudomonadota; Alphaproteobacteria; Hyphomicrobiales; Kaistiaceae
Source: RNAcentral
UAACCAUAGCCCGACGUUGGUUCCUCGGACCCGUUCGGGCGAGGGGAUCAAAAGGGAACACGGUGCGGCGUACCCAUCAGGGACCAAAUCCGUGGCUGCCCCCGCAACUGUAAGCGGCGAGUGCCCUCCGAUGACCACUGGCGAUGCCGGGAAGGUGGGGGGACAUGAUGACCCGUGAGCCAGGAGACCUGCCAGCGUGCAACCGGGGAA